AAAAGUCCACCAGUCAACCAGAAAAGUCAACCAGUUGACCAGAAAAGUUGACCAGAGCGCCCGAGCGGCACCUGAGCGCCAGUUUUGGGCCUGAGCGGCAGUUUUUGGCGCUUGGGCGGUGGCGCGACUUAAGGCAAAUCGCCCGCGCGACCAACUUUGGCGCCCGGUGAUACGGGACGCCUUGAGGAGCUGACCGAUUAGCACGACGCAAAAGCAGGUAAAGCUCCUCCAAGCUUCUCCGACGAGAGAAAUAUGCAGCAGAAUAUAAUAUGAGGGAACAAUCGACAGAGUGAUCGAGAUAGAUGCAUAACAGAGAAGAACAAAUCAGAUCUGAGAAAGGAAUUUCAGAUAUUUGUAACCUAGAUCGGCGAAACCCUAGAAAGGGAGGAAACUUGAUUUGGACCGAUUAAACGGUGGAAAUGGUGUUUUAAUCGGUGGAGAUGGAAGAUCGAAGGUUGGAAUGGUGUUUAAUCGGUCUAAAAACCGAAUCAAUCGGUAGAAAUGGACGGAUAUGAUGAAUGAAGGUUUUAAUCGGUAGAAAACCUAGCAAAAUGGAGGAGAAGGAGGGAUCUAUGAAGAGGAACGAGUUUUACCGGUGAGAGAUGGCAACAAUGGUGGAUCUGUGAUGAUGAAGAAUGAAUCACGGUGAGGAGCUCUUUAUCUGUCGAGAGUGAAGAUGCGAGAAUGAAUCUGAAGAAAUGAAGGAGUGAUGUAGGUCUGAAACACGAAAUGAAAGUGUACUGAGGAGAGAGUGAAAUGCUGACGCAGGCAAGGUGCUAGGUGGCAGUGAAGGANUGGCCACGGUGGAUGAGAGAGAAGCACUGUGGAAUAUUUGGAAAAUGAAUAGUAAGAAGUGUGCUUUGGAAGGUGGCUAGAGGUCUUUGGACUCUCUAGCCAAUGACUUUCAAGAGAGAAUAAUUUUCUGAAUUAGAAAAGUUUAUUCUCAUUAAGCUCAAAAGNN
RNAcentral lists this long non-coding RNA (961 nucleotides) under Vigna radiata. RNAcentral describes it as "long non-coding RNA (VRAD_LNC013605)". Lineage: Eukaryota; Viridiplantae; Streptophyta; Magnoliopsida; Fabales; Fabaceae. The record is from RNAcentral.